AGAGUUUGAUCAUGGCUCAGAAUGAACGCUGGCGGCGUGCUUAACACAUGCAAGUCGAACGAGAAAGCCGUAGCUUGCUAUGGCGAGUAAAGUGGCGCACGGGUGAGUAACGCGUGGGUAAUCUGCCCUUGAAUUUGGGAUAACACUUCGAAAGGAGUGCUAAUACCGGAUAACAUCUUUUUUGUUGCGGCAAGAGAGAUCAAAGAUAGCCUCUUCUUGAAAGCUAUUGUUUGAGGAUGAGCCCGCGUACCAUUAGCUUGUUGGUGGGGUAAAGGCCUACCAAGGCGACGAUGGUUAGCUGGUCUGAGAGGAUGAUCAGCCACACUGGAACUGGAACACGGUCCAGACUCCUACGGGAGGCAGCAGUGAGGAAUUUUGCGCAAUGGGCGAAAGCCUGACGCAGCAACGCCGCGUGAGUGAUGAAGGAUUUCGGUUCGUAAAGCUCUGUCAAGUGGGAAGAACCUACAUAGUGUUAAUAGCAAUAUGUACUGACGGUACCACUGAAGGAAGCACCGGCUAACUCCGUGCCAGCAGCCGCGGUAAUACGGAGGGUGCAAGCGUUAUUCGGAUUUACUGGGCGUAAAGGGAGCGCAGGCUGCCAGAUAAGUCAGAUGUGAAAGCCCGGGGCUCAACCCCGGAAGUGCAUUUGAAACUGUUUGGCUUGAGUAUGGUAGAGGGAAGUGGAAUUCCAGGUGUAGCGGUGAAAUGCGUAGAUAUCUGGAGGAACACCGGUGGCGAAGGCGACUUCCUGGACCAAUACUGACGCUGAGGCUCGAAGGUGUGGGUAGCAAACAGGAUUAGAUACCCUGGUAGUCCACACAGUAAACGGUGAUCACUAGGUGUUGCGGGUAUUGACCCCUGCAGUGCCGCAGCUAACGCAUUAAGUGAUCCGCCUGGGGAGUACGGUCGCAAGAUUAAAACUCAAAGGAAUUGACGGGGGCCGCACAGCGGUGGACAUGUGGUUUAUUCGACGCACGC
RNAcentral lists this ribosomal RNA (978 nucleotides) under uncultured delta proteobacterium. Its description in RNAcentral is "bacterial SSU rRNA". It matches the Rfam family "Bacterial small subunit ribosomal RNA", at positions 8 to 962 of the family's 1533-position model. The record is from RNAcentral. Lineage: Bacteria; Deltaproteobacteria.